GCUCUCUGGAUCAGUGGCGAACGGGUGAGUAACACGUGAGCAACCUGCCCCGGACUCUGGGAUAACAGCUGGAAACAGCUGCUAAUACCGGAUACGAGCUGCGAAGGCAUCUUCAGCAGCUGGAAAGAAUUUCGGUCCGGGAUGGGCUCGCGGCCUAUCAGCUAGUUGGUGAGGUAAUGGCUCACCAAGGCGUCGACGGGUAGCCGGCCUGAGAGGGUGACCGGCCACACUGGGACUGAGACACGGCCCAGACUCCUACGGGAGGCAGCAGUGGGGAAUAUUGCACAAUGGGCGAAAGCCUGAUGCAGCAACGCCGCGUGAGGGAUGACGGCCUUCGGGUUGUAAACCUCUUUUAGCAGGGAAGAAGCGAAAGUGACGGUACCUGCAGAAAAAGCGCCGGCUAACUACGUGCCAGCAGCCGCGGUAAUACGUAGGGCGCAAGCGUUAUCCGGAAUUAUUGGGCGUAAAGAGCUCGUAGGCGGUUUGUCGCGUCUGCUGUGAAAACCCGAGGCUCAACCUCGGGCCUGCAGUGGGUACGGGCAGACUAGAGUGCGGUAGGGGAGAUUGGAAUUCCUGGUGUAGCGGUGGAAUGCGCA
This 596-nucleotide ribosomal RNA is filed under the name Microbacterium sp. Its description in RNAcentral is "bacterial SSU rRNA". It matches the Rfam family "Bacterial small subunit ribosomal RNA", at positions 82 to 692 of the family's 1533-position model. The record is from RNAcentral. Lineage: Bacteria; Bacillati; Actinomycetota; Actinomycetes; Micrococcales; Microbacteriaceae.